RNAcentral lists this ribosomal RNA (249 nucleotides) under uncultured Staphylococcus sp. Its description in RNAcentral is "partial 16S ribosomal RNA". It matches the Rfam family "Bacterial small subunit ribosomal RNA", at positions 524 to 772 of the family's 1533-position model. The record is from RNAcentral. Lineage: Bacteria; Bacillati; Bacillota; Bacilli; Caryophanales; Staphylococcaceae.
UACGUAGGUGGCAAGCGUUAUCCGGAAUUAGUGGGCGUAAAGCGCGCGUAGGCGGUUUUUUAAGUCUGAUGUGAAAGCCCACGGCUCAACCGUGGAGGGUCAUUGGAAACUGGAAAACUUGAGUGCAGAAGAGGAAAGUGGAACUCCAUGUGUAGCGGUGAAAUGCGCAGAGAUAUGGAGGAACACCAGUGGCGAAGGCGACUUUCUGGUCUGUAACUGACGCUGAUGUGCGAAAGCGUGGGGAUCAAA